UACGUAGGGGGCAAGCGUUGUCCGGAAUCAUUGGGCGUAAAGCGCGUGUAGGCGGCCCGGUAAGUCCGCUGUGAAAGUCCAGGGCUCAACCCUGGAAUGCCGGUGGAUACUGUCGGGCUCGAGUCCGGAAGAGGCGAGUGGAAUUCCUGGUGUAGCGGUGAAAUGCGCAGAUAUCAGGAGGAACACCGGUGGCGAAGGCGGAUCUCUGGGCCUUACCUGACGCUCAGGCGCGAAAGCUAGGGGAGCGAACAGG
This 253-nucleotide ribosomal RNA is filed under the name uncultured bacterium. RNAcentral's name for it is "partial 16S ribosomal RNA". It matches the Rfam family "Bacterial small subunit ribosomal RNA", at positions 524 to 776 of the family's 1533-position model. The record is from RNAcentral.